UCUGGCUGUAUUAUACAGCACUGAAACACUAACACAUCUCUCUAUUGUGAAAGGAAACAUAGGCUCCUGUGCUGUGAAGAGGAAAAGAGUUUUAAAAUGUUACUCCCAAAAUUUUUGCUGCAAUGGAAUGGCCCAGACAGUGUCUGUUUCUCUCUGUACAUCUUUGAAUGUGAACAUUCUACAGCAGGAAGCUCAGAAGGGCUUAGAAUGCAGCCAUGUGUUGCCCUAUGCAGAGAGGAGCAGGAAGGUUUUGUAAUUGAUGCUAAUGGGAUAUGUUGCAUCUGUAAGUGUAAAUAAGGACUCAUAUAGACUCUCUGCUAGCUAGCGUAUACUGGGUUAUGCAACCCCCCCCCCGAUGCUUUAUGAGAAUUGGCUUAUGAGUAUCAAUAUGCAUAAUUCAAAGAUGCUUUGAAUAACUCAUGUAAUCUAUUUUAAUGUCACAGGCUGCUAGAUCUGUAUAUCCUAUUUUUGUGUAUGUAUCAUUCUUGAAUGUAAAGGUAGAAAUAUGAAGAACCACCAUGAAGGUAAAACCGAAGCAGAGAGGCCAGAUGACUUAUAGUCAGAAAAAAGAAACCAUUUGUUCUCGGCAUUGACCACAGGAUAGUCCACCUCUCCCCUUCGGCCUAGAAGGAUUUCAAUUCUGCCCUGAUCCAAACAAAAAAGCCAGAUACCUUAUACGUUUAGUAAAAUCAUUUUUAUGUACACUGAUGAAUAAUAUUUACAAUCUAAUACUGAUCCAAAAUGAACUAAAAUAUUACAGAUAGCACUGAACAGGAGAAAUGAAAAUAUUCUUAAUACACGGAACUUAAACAUAGCAUAUGAAGGGCUCCAAGAAAGAGUUCCAAAGGAUAAACGAGGUAAUGAUAUCAAAACUUACAUCUUGCUAUUUCCACACCAAUGCGGUCUCUUUUUAGAAAAGUUAUUCUAAUCUUUUUUUUUUUUAAUAGCCC
Pelodiscus sinensis (Chinese soft-shelled turtle) is the source of this 950-nucleotide non-coding RNA. Lineage: Eukaryota; Metazoa; Chordata; Testudines; Trionychidae. The record is from RefSeq and is a predicted model, not a curated record.